AGGCCCGUAGCUCUAAUGGCAGAGCACUGGUCUCCAAAACCAGGUGCUGUGGGUUCGAAUCCCACCGGGCCUGCCA
This 76-nucleotide transfer RNA is filed under the name Pseudomonadota bacterium. RNAcentral's name for it is "tRNA-Trp". It matches the Rfam family "tRNA". From Rfam's summary of the family: Transfer RNA (tRNA) molecules are approximately 80 nucleotides in length. RNAcentral also lists the same sequence under 1 other name. Lineage: Bacteria; Pseudomonadati; Pseudomonadota. The record is from RNAcentral.